Molecule: long non-coding RNA, 834 nt
Organism: Juglans microcarpa x Juglans regia
Lineage: Eukaryota; Viridiplantae; Streptophyta; Magnoliopsida; Fagales; Juglandaceae
Exons: 2
Source: RefSeq, a predicted model, not a curated record
UCCUCUCUUCUCUCUCCGUGAUCUUUCUUUUCAUUUCUGCAUUUAGUUUGAAAAUUACCGUAUUAGAUCCUUUACGAUGAUGUUGCUCGAUGAUGUUGCUCGUAUCUAAGUAUUUAGAUAGCAAAAUGGAAAAUAGGAGCGUCUCCCGAACUCUAACAAAGUCCCCCCCCGUUUGAUACAAUCAGAUGCUGUUUGUUUGGAUUAGAUUUUCCUAAACGUCCACAGUUCUAUUUGUCUCUUUUUUAGUUGAGAUGUUGAUCAUUCUGAAUAUCACUUAAUCCGAAUGUUUUAAGAAGACUCUUAUCACCCUGUUUUUGUAGAAUUAAUAACUAUUUAAUCUCGAUCUCCUUUGAAUUACGAUCUUCCGAGUUAUCACAUGAAGUUAUUCACAAGGACCCUUUAUUUCCCGACAAAAUAAAAAACUGCUUUGAUGAAGCUCCUCCCCUGAUAUCUUGCAUUCUUUUAAAAGACAUUUUUAGAACUCAUCAACAUCCAAUAUCUGGCCGCAAUCAGCGGGGAUACAGAUAUCGCACAUGUAAACAGGAUUUUCCAACAGAAUAAGAACAACAAUGAGAAGUUGGGAAGUGUCCCAUUAGUGUCAACUUCAGUCAUCAGGAACGAGGAUUGUUGGCCUCACGGGUCUUGCUUUUCAACGUUGAUGCCGACAUAACUUUCAAAAACCAAUAGUUUUUAGCGGAUUCGCUUUUUGACUUUUGUUUCUUUCGAAACCUGAAUAAAUAUUAGCUUGUCUUCACGUGGAAUGGGAGAUUGGGCGGGAGAUAAAUGUAAAUUUUUAAUUUUUUUUAUUAGUUAUUACUUCAGUUUUUUAAUUUU